Molecule: long non-coding RNA, 1585 nt
Organism: Hippocampus zosterae (dwarf seahorse)
Lineage: Eukaryota; Metazoa; Chordata; Actinopteri; Syngnathiformes; Syngnathidae
Exons: 2
Source: RefSeq, a predicted model, not a curated record
CCUGUACCGGGUUCAAUUCCAGCUCCGGCCUCCCUGUGUGGACUUUGCAUGUUCUCCCCGGGCCUGCGUGGGUUUUCUCCGGGUGCUCCGGUUUCCUCCCACGUUCCAAAAACAUGCAUGGCAGGCUGAUUGGACGCUCUAAAUUGUCCCUAGGUGUGAGUGUGAGCGUGGAUGGUUGUUCGUCUCUGUGUGCCCUGUGAUUGGCUGGCAACCGAUUCAGGGUGUCCCCCGCCUACUGCCCGAAGACGGCUGGGAUAGGCUCCAGCACCCCUCGCGACCCUAUUGAGGAUCAAGCGGUUCGAAAAUGGAUUUUCUUUGAUGACUUGCGGAAACGCUCCACGACGCAGUUCCGCCUUGUUCCGACCGGCGUCGAGCAAAACCUGCAACGUUUGCUCCGUAGACCUCCCAGCCUAAAGCGCCGCAUCCGGUUUUUAUUCCUCCGGAGCAAUACCGCGACACGUCGACGCUAUUACCGUCGGAUUAAUGUCAAAUCAGCCACGGGGUCCAUCUUGCCCUGAAGCUCCACGUAGGCAGUAGAACGGCGUUUUUGUUCCAGCGGAUGAUUGACGCUGUGAAAUGGAUCCAGGCUAUUUAUUUUUUAUUUUUUCUCUUCACCCGUCACGUAUUUUUAUUGAGCCGGACAAAUUCUGGCAAUCAGACCGUCGCCAUUGUAUCGCUGUCGGAAUGAACUGAGCGCGUGAAGAGACACGUCGUCAUUACGCGGCGGCCGUGUGUUUCCCCCUUUUCCCGUCUCCUUCGCAGUCGGCGGGCCUCCCUGUCGUCUACCUGAGUGACAAAAGAUGCUCGGAAUGAGUCAUCAGAUGUUUUUUGGGGGGGGCGGUAGGAGGCUUAGCUGCUGCCAAAACUGACUGCUGUCAUAACCAGAGGAUGUUCUCAACACUUGUGCGAUUUGCGCUUUAUCCGUUUGGAGUUCCUGCUAGCAUGUCGCGUACGCCCGUAUUCCGGAAGAUGGGGGCGUGACCUUGGAUGACAUUGCCGUCCGUCCCACGCAGCUCGGGUCAGAGCACAGUGACACUUUACUCAGCACUUCAUUCCGGAUGCCUUCCAAAUGCGGAGGCGUUUAGCCGCCAUUGUACCACACGCUUAGCGCACCGCUUCACAGGGCCCCGCUAUACCCUCUCGGAAUCCGGAUUCCGUUGCCGAGCGAGCGCGGCAGUCGCUCUGCGGGGUUAUUGUUCGGUUCGCCGGAGCCCCGCGACAAAUUGAUUCCGCGCAGAGUCCGAUGAAAGUUUUCAAUGUGCCUUUUGUGGCGCUCGCUAGCAAAAUGUCGACGCAGCGAGCGGGUAAUCCCGUGGGUUUUUCGCACCGGAAUGGCUUCCCCGACUGCGUAGCACCGUCUGGUAGACCCGCUGAGCGUGAGAUGAAACACACAGUCUGGCCGCGGUAUUAUUAUUAUUCCCAUCGUGGUGUCGUUUGUCCGUUUUUUUUGUACUUUGGUGUCACACGUUCUGCACUUUUUAGUCUCUAAAGGCCCGGAAUGAGAUGCCUUCUUGUUUUUGUGUGAGUCAUACAUGAGUGGGCGUCAAUCAGGGAGCCAAAUAGAUCCGUCACCUUCCCCAACCAC